UACGUAGGGGGCAAGCGUUGUCCGGAUUUAUUGGGUUUAAAGGGAGCGUAGGCGGCUUAGUAAGUCAGAAGUGAAAGCCCGCAGCUCAACUGCGGGACUGCUUUUGAAACUGCCAGGCUAGAGUGUCGGAGAGGUAAGUGGAAUUCCUAGUGUAGCGGUGAAAUGCGUAGAUAUUAGGAGGAACACCAGUGGCGAAGGCGGCUUACUGGACGAUGACUGACGCUGAGGCUCGAAAGCGUGGGUAUCGAACAGG
This 253-nucleotide ribosomal RNA is filed under the name uncultured Eubacteriales bacterium. RNAcentral's name for it is "uncultured Clostridiales bacterium partial 16S ribosomal RNA". It matches the Rfam family "Bacterial small subunit ribosomal RNA", at positions 524 to 776 of the family's 1533-position model. Lineage: Bacteria; Bacillati; Bacillota; Clostridia; Eubacteriales. The record is from RNAcentral.